AAGUCGUAACAAGGUUUCCGUAGGUGAACCUGCGGAAGGAUCAUUAACACGUAUCCAACGUUAAACCCCCCUGUGAACCUUCAGUGUGCUCGCACUUUCUUAGAAAAGGUAGCAAUCCCUGGUAAAUCAUUGCCGAACAGUUUUGAUUCAGGGACUUCUGCGUAGACUGUGCUUGAGCGCGAGGCAAGUGGCCUGGCAUUCCUCUGCUUGUUGGUGUCUGAAAGUGUCACCAGCUCUGUACGAAUGGCGCAGUCACGAUCGCUAGAGGCCGACACGGCCGGCGACCGGGUCACUGGGCGCGAGCCCCCCUCGUCACCUUUGCAUGAACGGCCACCAAACUCGAACAACUGUUAACAAUGGAUAUCUUGGUUCUC
This 374-nucleotide unclassified non-coding RNA is filed under the name fungal sp. RNAcentral's name for it is "partial internal transcribed spacer region". The stretch from base 1 to 46 matches the Rfam family "Eukaryotic small subunit ribosomal RNA", at positions 1786 to 1831 of the family's 1831-position model. Lineage: Eukaryota; Fungi. The record is from RNAcentral.